ACAGAACACUUUUUCAAUAAUGUUUAUUAGCUUUGUAAACCUUGUGUUGCUGCUACAAUCAUUGUGUAUCUUCAAAGCUCCAACAAUUUGGUGGUAGUACAUCUUUGAGGGGAAGUACAGCAUUAUUAGGCCCUUAGCUCCCACCAUUCUAGUAGUACUAACAUUUGUACUGCGACUAUUGCUUUUUCCUUGUAUUUAAGUCAGCCGUUCUGUUCUGCCAAUUCGUGUCCAUCAGGGCAGACAUUUCGAAACCAUCUUUUUCGAGCAAAGAGUUAGAAUUCUUGGUAGAAUGCUUUUCUCAUUCUUCAUCAUAUUUAAACGGGACAUCAAUUUCUAACUCAAACAUGCUUUCUCCACCCUAACCCUCAUAUGCUUUCUGCCAAUUCUCUCUUCCCUAUGCUCAUUCCACCAAUCAUGGAGAUGGGCAAUUACGGCUGCAGUCAGGUAUUCAUUAGCACAUCAUGGGGUGCUAAUCAUCUGCAUAAUUCGGCUACAAGGUAAAAAAGAUUGGUAAGGACAGACGGGGACGAGGCAGAGCAUGAAAAGGGUGCAUUUCAACACCCUCUGGUUAUUUUGAUUUUUGGUGUUGACGGCCUUUCCGUGCACUGCCUCUUCCCUGGCUGUCCUGUCAUCUUAUCAUCACCUUUGGCAUCUCAAUAUCAUUUGAAUUUUUCUUUCAAGUAAUUGAUGGAUUUAGUUUGGCACGUUCAUCACUCAUUCAAAAGGUUUAUUAUUAUUAGCAAAACAAGGGACUUAUUCCUCUCACAUCCCAAUUCUACAGUUCUAGUGCUCCUCUCCUCCAUCUCAAUUUUUGUCCUUUACCCAUAAUUUGAUUAGUUGAAUCACGAUAAGUUCGAUAACACACGAUGUAUGUUUGGCUGUUUGCCAACAAAAGUUUGCUCAACUCAAUUGGUAAGAUCAUACUACUUCCUAAAUAAAGGUCAUAUAUCCGAAUGCUGCUGCCGUCGAUACGAGGACCGUAUUAAUGAGUGAGUGAAUUGUAAAAGACUCUGUAAAUAAUCUAAAGUCCAGGAGAAUACUCUAACUCGUGGUGAUGAACGAACCCGAAGUUAUAUGCCAUUGACUUCGCUGCCAAUUUUGUUCUACAUGGGAUUAGUGUUUCUUUUGUUAUUUCUAACUAUGUGCUUGUGCCCGUUAAUUUUGCCCCCAUUUUGGUGUCACUUCAUAACCCAAAUAGCACAGAGGAAGAUUCCGUUCUUCUAGUGUGUAAAAUUUGUUUCUUCCUUUUUUAACUCCUUUAGGUUAAAUAUCAUUACUUUAGUAUCAUAAAAUUCUAAACCAUUGUGCUUUCUGUCUUCUUUCACUGCCAUUUAAUUUUCCUUGGUUCUACCACUGAAGAGGUGAUUUCUGGUUUGACAAGCUAUGCCGAAUUGCCGAAGUGCUCUCCUAAGUGAAGUGUAACCGCACAAAAGUCAUCUGUUCAAAUUAUAAGAGACGGGACUGUAUUCCCCGGGUUUCUUCCGACGAUCUAGUUAGCUUGGAUAAGAGAGGGUUGAAGAAGUUUUUGAAAGUAAUUCUUACGGAAUAUUUUGCCUGUUUGUUUCUGAGUGAGGGUCCUGGUAUUUAUAUGAGAUAAUUUGGAGGGAAGGAUAUUGGGCUCCAAUUUUCUAGGAUCUGAUUGAGACUGAGCAUGUCAGCUUGAUUUGAUAGGUCUGUGCAGUGGAUAGGUCUCAGCAGAUGUCCUAUCCGUCCUGCAGGUGUCAGGUCUUUGACAGGAUCUUGGUUGUCAUGCCAGGCACGGCGCCAAUCCAAGAUAACAGUAUCCGUAUGCGGUGUGUGGCCAUGGUGACCAGAACGGAUGGGGGUCGCCCUAAGUGGUGACGGGAUUGGCUCGAUCAGAUGGCCAUUAUAAAUAACUAGUGGCAGGAAAAAAAAAAAAGGGGCCGAGCCAGGAUGACCAUCCCCAACCGCCUUCAGAAGUUAUGGUAGAAAUGUGCUUGGUGAAAUGUAGUCAACAGCUCCUGCAAUCAUUUAAGAUGGGAGAAAGCUCAUGAGUAGAUGUAUAAAUAUUUUUGAAAGGAAGUGACCUGUGUGGAAUCUAGUUCCACUUCCACAAAAGAAAUGUUAGAAGUCUGCUUGCUGACUCCAAGCCAUCCCUUAUUGCCCGGUGAGGGAACCUCAGCCGACUCCUCGGCUGAACCUGCGUUCUCCCAAACUCGACAUCACCAGAUGAUUCCCCCAAGGUCAACCAACUUCCUGAUUAGAUAGUUGGGACAGACCUUGGGAAGGAAUGGACGAGGGACAGGAACGGCUGCAGUUUCUGAAAGUUCAUGGCCAAGAUUUGGCAAAAAAAAAAAA
Non-coding RNA from Coffea arabica (coffee), 2319 nucleotides. The record is from RefSeq and is a predicted model, not a curated record. NCBI's taxonomy places the organism in Eukaryota, Viridiplantae, Streptophyta, Magnoliopsida, Gentianales, Rubiaceae.